CCUACGGGGGGCAGCAGUGGGGGAUAUUGCACAAUGGGGGAAACCCUGAUGCAGCGACGCCGCGUGAGUGAAGAAGUAUUUCGGUAUGUAAAGCUCUAUCAGCAGGGAAGAAAAAAGACGGUACCUGACGAAGAAGCCCCGGCUAACUACGUGCCAGCAGCCGCGGUAAUACGUAGGGGGCAAGCGUUAUCCGGAUUUACGGGGUGUAAAGGGAGCGUAGACGGCAAGACAAGUCGGAAGUGAAAUACCCGGGCUCAACCUGGGAAUUGCUUUGGAAACUGUAUGGCUGGAGUGCUGGAGCGGUAAGCGGACUUCCUCGUGUCGCGGUGACAUGCGUAGAUCUUAGGCGGCACCCCAGUGGCGAAGGCGGCUUACUGGACAGUACCUGACGUUGAGGCUCGACCGCGUGGGGAGCAAACCGGAUUAGAUACCCUAGUCGUC
This 441-nucleotide ribosomal RNA is filed under the name uncultured bacterium. RNAcentral describes it as "partial 16S ribosomal RNA". It matches the Rfam family "Bacterial small subunit ribosomal RNA", at positions 338 to 795 of the family's 1533-position model. The record is from RNAcentral.